This is a non-coding RNA of Ceratotherium simum simum (southern white rhinoceros), 86 nucleotides long. The record is from RefSeq and is a predicted model, not a curated record. NCBI's taxonomy places the organism in Eukaryota, Metazoa, Chordata, Mammalia, Perissodactyla, Rhinocerotidae.
CUCAUGAAUAUAGAUGCAAAAAUCUUAAGCAAAAUAUUAGCAAACUAUAUCCAGCAAUAAAUAGAAAAGAUUAUACAUCAUGACCA